RNAcentral lists this ribosomal RNA (200 nucleotides) under uncultured bacterium. RNAcentral describes it as "partial 16S ribosomal RNA". It matches the Rfam family "Bacterial small subunit ribosomal RNA", at positions 29 to 226 of the family's 1533-position model. The record is from RNAcentral.
AACGAACGCUUGCGGCGCGCCUAAUACAUGCAAGUCGAACGAGAAAAUUUCUUCGGAAGUGAGUACAGUGGCGGACGGGUGAGGAACACGUAGAUAAUCUGCCUUAAAGAGGGGGAUAACUACUCGAAAGAGUAGCUAAUACCGCAUAAGACCACAGGAUCCUCGGAUCUAGGGGUUAAAGGAGCAAUUCGCUUUAAGAU